AGGGGCUCCUGGGAGAUGUAGUCUGGGGCCUGGAAAGGCGCCGCGCAAAGGACUCUGGGGCUGUUCGUUCAGAGAAAGCGCAAGCGAUAUCCCACCCCUGGCCUGGAGCAACAUCCCUUCGCUCCUCUCCGGGGUCCAUUCGUGUCCGGGCCGGGAUCCCUCAACCUCACGAUCCGGGAGUGGCCGUCCUGAACGGCGCAACGUACCGGAGGCUUCUGGGACGUGCAGCCUGGGCUCGCAGUGCGCAUGCGCGAGCGCGUGCGUUACGGUCCGUGGGUGAGCCUGGCUCCCCAAACCCCUCUGAGCUCCAGGGGCAAAGGGGAGGGUGUUGGGGCUAGAAGCCCCCGGACGGGAACGUGUAGGUGUGGAUGCUGGGGAGGCUGGGUUUGGUUGAAGGGAUCAAGGAAGGGUCUCAGCACCCGAAAACAUCUACGUGAUUUUAUAAAGACAGCAACAAGUGGGGCCCUGGGAAGCGCUAGGCGGCCCUUGCGCGUGCGCGCGGCGCAGCGUGUUCCGAGGGCUGGUGUAGGGGCGGGGCCUCGGGCGGGCACGCGAGCGGCGAUGCCCCCAAGAGCGGCUCUGAGUGCGCGAGCGCGCCUGCGUAUGCCUGCCUGUGAGUGGGUUGGGGGCCUCAGGUCUGUGCCUGUGGAAAGGUCCCGGGAGAGCAGUGCUGAGUUCCUUGGAGAAAAUUAUUUUGUGGACAAGAAUCGUGCUCCUUCAACUUGGGGUGUGUGCCAAGGGCAAACAGCCAUGAGAAUCCACAGGAUGGAUGCGUUGCCACUUCCUGGAGCAAUCCAUUUUACUUGAGGAAUCAGAAGAGAAGAAUCUGGUAAAUGAUUUAAAGCAUGAUUUUAUAUUAACACAGACUCAGAUUUAUCAUGAUGUAGGAUGCAAAAAGUUAUAUGGAUGUUUCAGAACAAAACAGAAGAUUUCAAGAGUUUUAUGUUAUGGGGCAACUGCAUUGGGGUAUUCUCAGGCCACAGAGCUAGCCAUUAACCCUCCUCUACUGUGCAGGGACAUUUGUCAGAAGUUCUCAGACGCCACGUGUCAGUGAAGUGCUAGAGCUGGCUUGCCCCGCCUCACAUGAACCCGUUGUGCACACCUCUCCCCAGUUCCAUGUUCAGUGACAUCAGUUUGAUAUAUUACAGUGGGCCCUGGUGGGAGUAUGUACACCAUGGAAAUUGGCAGACACUGCAAAUUACCCAGCACAUCACUGUCCCAAGGUUGAAUACAGAGAGAAUUCAGGCAUCCAGGAUUCUUUGUCACCAUUUUCUACACAAGGGAAGUCUUGCUCAGCACAGUCAGAAUUGAAGGCCAGGCCACUCGGUUUGUCACUGAGCCACAACUCAUCAACCUUAGUGUGGUCUGCUCCAAAGCUCCCCAAGUGCUGUGGCACUCUGAUAUAACAGAGGUACAUAUCUCGUAAAUGUGGUGCCACAUUGACACCUCCCAAACCCUGCCAGAGAAGACAGUGUGAGUAUUUGCCGUGUAGACCCUUAUCCUGCUCCAAGAGGGCAGACUGUGCUGCAUGUGGAUGGGGCUUAAACCCAGGCUUCAUCACUUAAAGCCCUGAGACGUCGGGCAGGUCUUCUUCCCUCUUUCAUCCUCAGAAUGGAAACUGGAACCCAUGUGGUCAGUUUGCUCUAAAGGUGAAAUCAUAUAAUGCAUAUAAAUAUCCAGUACAACUCUCAGUCUCAUACUUACUACUUUUAUUGAUUUUUAAAUUUUUAUUGGGGUAUAGUUGAUUUACAAUGUUGUGAUAGUUUCAGGUGUACAGCAAAGUGAAUCAGUUAUACAUAUAUCCACUCUUUUUCAGAUUCUUUUCCCAUAUAGGUCAUUACAGAGUAUUGAGUAGAGUUCCCUGUGCUGUACAGUAGGUCCUUAUUAUCUCAUACUUAUUAUUAACUGGGAGGCAUUGUUGUCACCAGGGGUUGAGCACAUUUAACAUGCACACACCUGAGGGCUUCCCCAGAGUACAGAAGGACAGUAGACUGUUCAGAACAAAAGACUCACAGCCCACAGCACUGGCCACAUGCCAGACUAAUAACAACAAAAAUGAUAAGUACAGCUACCAUGAUAAUUGUCUUAUUUGCUCCUCACAGCAGCAGCCCUUCACCUUCCUUUUGCAGACAUAAAGGAUCAAGGUAAAGACCCAGUAAGGUUCAGUGUCUUGCCCAAGGCCACACAGAUAAACACAGGAAUGUUGGUCAACUCACAGCGUGCAGUGGAGAACAGGAGGUGAAGGCAAAGGCAGAUGUAGUAACAAUAGAAUUAGUUUCCCACGUAAUGAAGUGGCACCUACUGCAUGUUCAAGAGGCCCCUACCCCAGCUAAGGGGGCCAGGGAGGGCUCUUUGAAGAAGUGAUGGUAAAGAAAGUAUUUACUACUGGGCCUUUAGUCAUUCAGGUAGCGAAUAGUCAGCCAGCCCCUUCCACGUGCCAGCUCCUGGUCCAGGGCACAUGGAGCUUAUGCUCAAGUGGUUGGGACAGACUGUAAGCACCAGAAGCAAAUCACAUAGUGUGUUAGCGAGGAGAACUGUGGAGAAAAGAGAAGUCAGAACUGGGAAAGGGAGAGGUGGAGGGUGAUGGAUAGGAGGGUCAGAAGUAGGUUGCAGUAAUAAAUACAAUGGUUAGGGUGAGCCUCACAGAUAAGGUGAGGUUAGAACAAAGAUCGAAGGGAAUGAGGAACUGAGACAGGGGAAAGAGCAUUGCAGGUGGGGUCCUGAGGCAGCACUGUGGCAGCUCGUUCAGGGAUUGGCAAGGAGGCCAGUGUGAGGAAGGGGAGAAUUGUAAGACCUGAAUUCAUAGCUCAUGGGAGGGAAAAUAAGGCCAGAUACUACAUGUAGACUCUUACCUAAUCCUCACAACAACUCCAGAAGUAGUUCUGUGUUGCCCCCGUUUAACAGGGGAGGAAACUGGCACAGAGAGGCUAAGUAAUUUGCCCAAGGUAACACAGCUAAUAAAAAUAGUCAUCAAGCGCAGGUGGUCCAACUUCAGAGUGAGGUGUUUAACACACACCAGGCCACCCAGCCGUUCCCUGUAACCCAGGUGAAGACAGGGCAGGGCUCCAAGCUCCUUCUGGACCUGUGAGUCUGAGUUAGGCAGGGCUGGUGUCCCACGGCUCCUUUCUGCCCUGUUGGAGUGACCUCAUAGGCUAACCUCAGUGAUCUCCAACCAGCCCCUUUCAUCUGGCCUUAGUGCAUCCCUGAGAUUCCUCUGAAUCAUGCAUUUUUUUAGCACCAGGUCAUUGACAGAAGAGAAGAAAAGCCCACUUAUAGGGCACAUGAAUGGGAAGGAACAAAUGGAAGGGUCACUGUAUUUGUUUCCCAUUGCUUUGGUGACAAAUUACCACCAACUUAGUGGCUUCCAACACACCUUCAUUCUCCUACGGUUCUGAAGGUCAGAUGUCUGGAAUGGUUUAGGCAGGGCCAUGUUCAUUCUGGAGGCUCUGGGGAGAAUGUGUGACCUUGCCCUUUACAGCUUCUAGAUGCCACCUGCAUUCCCUUCCUGCAUCUUCAAAACUGGUGGCACAGUGUAUCCAGACAUUUUUCUCUCUGACUGUGCUUCCAUCAUCUUCUCUGUCUCUGACCUCCUGUCUCCCUCUCAUAAGGGCCUUAUGACCACAUUGAGCCCACCUGGAUAAUCCAGGAUCAUCUCCCCACCUCAGCAUCCUUCAUUUCGUCAUAUCUGCAAAGUCCCCAUUUUGGCCUUUUUUAGACCCUGGCCUUUUCCAAAGACAAGAGGGCUUGGAAUGACUGCUGUUAGAACUGUUCUCUGUGCUGUGGUUUCAACAUAAAAUGGUUGCACUCCACCCCACUUUCAGCAUGCCAGGAAGCAUUCUGGACUGGUUACUAAGUCAGUCAAUAAUUUUUAUUGAGCACCGCUUUGCACAGGGCAUGGUCUCACAUGGGAGGAGAGAGUGAACAAAACAGUUAAGGUGUCUGCUCUCAUAGAGCCCAAGUCACAUGGGGGAGAUGGUACCUGCAUAAACAAGCCCUUUUCAGGAAGCUGGGGGUACUGCACAGAAAAUGGAGCAGUAGAAUGGCGUAGACUGUAUAGUAUGAAGCAGUGCUGUCCUGUAGAAACAUAAUGCAAGGCAGAAUUUUAAAUUUUCCGGAAGCCAUAUUGAAAAAAGUAAACAAAUUAUUAAAGUUAAUUUUAAUAAUACAUUUUGUUUAACUCAAUACAGUAUAUCUGAAAUAUUACCGUUUUAAUUCAUAAUCAAUAUAAACAGUUACCAGUGAGAUUUUUUUACAUUCUUUUUUUCUUUUUUAACUGAGUCUUUAAAGUCAGGUGUGUCUUCUACAUGUAUAGUGCACCUCAAUCCAGACACUUAAUUGAUCUGUAUUUAAAUUUCAUAAAAUUUACCAUUGGAAAAGUAGAUUCAACACCCAAGUUAUUCCAAACAUACUUAAAAGUUUAUAGUAACUGAGUUAAGGAUCAAUUCUUAAUUUUAGAUUAAUAAUAAAUUUUAAUUCAGUGAUUUUAGUAUUUAUCAUUUAUUAUGGUUUUAAUAAUAAACAAAUUGAAAUAAAAUUAAACAGUUUCUUAUUUCCAGAACUCCGCGUCUCACGUGGCUGCUGGCAUGUGUUGGGCAGCACAGGUAUAGAGUGGCUCAGGGUGAUAGAGGGCCUCCUGGGGAGGUGAUACUUGACGUCUCACCUCUUCCUCUCCCACUAAUGCACACCAUUGAGAUUACCCUUCUAGAUUUCUGCAUACCUAUCUAAUGAGUCCCUUCUCCAGCUGUUGCUUCCCCCUCGCCCCUCCCCCACCACACACACCCAGUUUAUUUGCCACAUAGCCACCGAGAAAAAUUUUGUUAAAUGUUAGGUCAGCCACAUCAUUCCUCUGCUCAGCCACCAACCCCCCAUGAUGACUUAUUGCGCUUAGGAUGAAUUCCAAACUGCUCCUCACCCCUUCAUGAUCUGGCCCCUCCUGCCCUCACACACCUCCUAGUCCACCACUCCCCGUCUCGCUCACUCUGCGUCAGCUCACCCGCCUUCGCACUUCCCUUCACAUGCAAGCAUGUGCCUGCCGCAGGGCCCGUGCACCUGUUGUACGUCUACCCAGAAUGCCCUUCUCCCAGUGCCCAGGUGGCUCACACUGCAGUCACACCUCGGCUCAAUGUUGCCUCCUCUGAGAGGCCUUUCCCUGCCACCCCGUCACUCCAUCCCCUGCUCGGGUCCUUUUUUUCCUGCAUAGCAGUGAUCUCAGCUAACACUGUGUUCUUUUUUUUUUUUUAACACUGUGUUCUAUCUGGACUUGUCUUCCCUGCUGGAAUGUAAGGUACUUGGGAGCCAGUACCUCUCUGCUCUAACUCUGCUCUCUCCCCAGCACUGGGGACAGUGCCUGGCACCUGAUGAACACUCCACAAUUCCUUGUCAAAUGGAAGAACAGGUGUCUGCCUGUCUCAUUUGCCUCCUGAUCUGGAGCCUCCUGUGAUCUUAAGAACAGAUAGUGUUGGCCGUGGUCCCUCCCUAACCCUGAGAAGGGGCAGGAAUGCUUCAGAAGAUGUUGUGACCUCCUGCAAUGUGCACGUCUGUGCACGUGUGUGUGACCAGGGUGUGGGGCCAGGGGAUUCUUAUCCUAGAGACGCUGGGACCACCCAGAAGGCCCAGUGACUCAUGACUUCUCUUCUCUCCCAGCCCCACCUUCUCAGCACUCUGCCCCUCUUCAAAUUGAAA
Molecule: long non-coding RNA, 5682 nt
Filed under: Delphinapterus leucas (beluga whale)
Lineage: Eukaryota; Metazoa; Chordata; Mammalia; Artiodactyla; Monodontidae
Description: lncRNA (ENSDLEG00000001499.1)
Source: RNAcentral